Molecule: long non-coding RNA, 752 nt
Filed under: Sarcophilus harrisii (Tasmanian devil)
Lineage: Eukaryota; Metazoa; Chordata; Mammalia; Dasyuromorphia; Dasyuridae
Description: lncRNA (ENSSHAG00000024041.1)
Source: RNAcentral
CUUGUGAGAAAGACCUUCUAUGUAUUAGUUCCUCUUAAGUAUUCUAUUUUUAAUGACCAUUUUUGCAAUUUGUAAGGAUCAUUUUAAACUGCAUGUGAUUGUAAAGGCUGCCAGCAAGCAUAUUAAUGAUGGAACUUACCUUCUGGCUUUCUGACUCAGUUACAUAUUGAAGACCUUGGAAUUACUGUCAUGGUGGAUAUAUUAAAAAAAAAAAUUCCCACCCACCUUCUAUUCUCUGGGUGUUGUGAAAACUUCCUAAUAACAUCAUGUGAAUUAUGCACAAUAAAUUGUUGUCUUCUUUAAUGAUAUACCUGAACUAGAAAAAUAAUGCCUCAUUGUCCCUGUAUGGAUUUCCUGGAAUGCCUGCUACCCAGGGGCAUUUUGGACAGAAAGCUGGCUUGAUGCAGAAACCUUGGAGCCAGUGAAACUAACAUCUCCACCUGUGAAGAUUACAACUUAAGGAAAAGGGGAAAAUACCAUCUUUACAAGAAGUGCUUGUGAACAGGCUAAAUCCAAACAAAUGACUCUUUCAGAAAAAUUUUAUCUUCAUUGCAUGAGAGUUUUUCUUUUUUAAACUUGCUAAAUAUAGCAGGGAGGAGUCAGGGAGUGUGUGUGUGUGUGUGUGUGUGUGUGUGUGUGUGUGUGUGUGUGUGGAGAUAAAGUACUAGGAAAGAAUUACACACCAUAUUCCUCCCCAGUAUGUUUCAAAAGUAGCUGUGUCCAUCUUCAAACAAGUCUGUCUGCGCCUGCCU